RNAcentral lists this ribosomal RNA (1797 nucleotides) under Triticum aestivum (bread wheat). RNAcentral describes it as "partial small subunit ribosomal RNA". The record is from RNAcentral. Lineage: Eukaryota; Viridiplantae; Streptophyta; Magnoliopsida; Poales; Poaceae.
AUGAAUGAACUUUUGAGUAAACCUUAUGAGUCGGCUGAGCUUCAGCGCGCAAUGUUCCAAAUGGCUCCGUCCAAGGCGCCGGGGGUGGAUGGCUUUACGGCGGGUUUUUUCCAACGCCACUGGAAGUUGUUGCAAGAAGACGUAACACAAGCGGUGCUGGCUUUUCUUAAUGGAGGCGAACUACCAUUGGGUCUCAACGACACAUCUAUCACACUGAUCCCUAAGGUACGUCACCCCCAAAGCAUCUCACAAUAUCGGCCAAUUGCUCUUUGUCCAGUGUUAUACAAACUGGCAGUAAAGGUUAUAGCUAACCGGUUGCGAGUGUGCAUGGACGAUAUUAUCAGUGAGGAACAAAGUGCUUUCGUCCCAGGUCGUCUGAUCACAGAUAAUGUUCUCGUUGCCUUUGAAAGUGUUCACGCGAUGAAGAGACGGAAGAAAGGGAGGAACUACACUUGUGCGAUCAAACUUGACAUGAUGAAGGCUUACGAUAGAGUCGAAUGGCACUUUCUGGAAGCCAUACUCUUGAAGCUGGGGUUCAAUGCUAAUCUGGUCAGGCUGAUCAUGAAGUGUGUCACAUCUGUUCGGUUCUCUGUCCGUGUGAAUGGAGAGCUGCAGCCUUAUUUCGACCCAUCCAGAGGGCGUCGGCAGGGGUGUCCAAUCUCCCCUUAUUUGUUCUUGCUUUGCGCCGAAGGUUUUACCUCACUUCUGAAGCACUACGGGGACUUUGUGGACAGGGGUAUCCGAGUGAACUUCAGAUCACCAUGGGUGAAUCACCUACUAUUUGCUGAUGAUAGCCUCAUCUUCAUCAAGGCGAAUGAGGAAAGCGCGGCUAGGCUGAAUGAUAUUCUUGCAAUAUAUGGGGAUGCUUCUGGACAGUGUGUCAACAGGAGCAAGAGCUCUAUAUUCUUCAGCCCAAACACGCCAACGACCCUUAGACAAACUUUGAAGCAACUUCUUGAAGUACAAGUCGAAGCUUUCUCAGAACGCUACCUCGGCCUACCCACUGCCGUUGGCAAGAUCACUAGUGGAACCUUUGAAUAUCUAGUUGAUCGGGCACGAGGCAGCAUGCAAGGUUGGGCAGAGAGGCUAUUUGCUUGCGCCGGCAGAGAGACACUUUUAAAAUCCAUUGUUCAAGCCAUCCCGACGUUUAGCAUGAGUUGUUUUCUGUUUACGAAAAAGGUGUGCAAAAGUCUCACCUCGAGCAUGGCAAAAUUUUGGUGGGUAAGCUCUAUUGAUAGGAACUCCUUACAUUGGAUCGCUUGGGACAAACUUGCCAUGCCAAAGUGCAAAGGCGGAAUGGGAUUCCGUGAUUUUCGGCUGUUUAACUUGGCGCUGUUAGGGAAGCAUGGAUGGUGUUUUAUGAUGAACCUUAACUCCCUGUGCGCCAAGGUUAUGAAAGGAAGAUAUUUUCUAGACUCGGAUUUCCUUCACGCAACAGUCCCUAAAUCAUCCUCAGCUACCUGGAGAGCGAUUAUAGCUGGCCGGGAAGCUUUACAAACCGGGCUGCUGAAGCGAGUCGGAUCCGGUACUUCCAUCUCUGUAUGGGAAGACAAGUGGAUUCCCUCCACUGUCUCAAUGACUCCACUGAUGCGUCCAGUAAAUACGGUGAUUCAGACAGUGAACGAGCUGAUUGAUACAACUAACUGGACAUGGCGUCAGGAGUUGGUGCGAGGGAUUUUCAUUGCACCUGAUGCCGCUGCCAUUCUUAACAUACCAUUGCGACAGGGAGGCGGUGAAGAUAUCCUUGCUUGGGCACAUGAGAAAUCAGGCAUUUACUCUGUUAAAUCGGCGUGUUGA